RNAcentral lists this ribosomal RNA (468 nucleotides) under uncultured bacterium. Its description in RNAcentral is "partial 16S ribosomal RNA". It matches the Rfam family "Bacterial small subunit ribosomal RNA", at positions 28 to 507 of the family's 1533-position model. The record is from RNAcentral.
GACGAACGCUGGCGGCGUGCUUAACACAUGCAAGUCGAACGGAAAGGCCCUGCUUUUGUGGGGUGCUCGAGUGGCGAACGGGUGAGUAACACGUGAGUAACCUGCCCUUGACUUUGUGAUAACUUCAGGAAACUGGGGCUAAUACCGGAUAGGAGCUCCUGCUGCAUGGUGGGGUUUGGAAAGUUUCGGCGGUUGGGGAUGGACUCGCGGCUUAUCAGCUUGUUGGUGGGGUAGUGGCUUACCAAGGCUUUGACGGGUAGCCGGCCUGAGAGGGUGACCGGCCACAUUGGGACUGAGAUACGGCCCAGACUCCUACGGGAGACAGCAGGGGGGAAUAUUGCACAAUGGGCGGAAGCCUGAUGCAGAAACGCCGCGUGCGGGAUGACGGCCUUCGGGUUGUAAACCGCUUUCGCCUGUGACGAAGCGUGAGUGACGGUAAUGGGUAAAGAAGCACCGGCUAACUACGUG